CCUACGGGAGGCAGCAGUGGGGGAAUCUUGCGCAAUGGGCGAAAGCCUGACGCAGCCAUGCCGCGUGAAUGAUGAAGGUCUUAGGAUUGUAAAAUUCUUUCACCGGGGGACGAUAAUGACGGUACCCGGAGAAGAAGCCCCGGCUAACUUCGUGCCAGCAGCCGCGGUAAUACGAAGGGGGCUAGCGUUGCUCGGAAUUACUGGGCGUAAAGGGAGCGUAGGCGGAUAGUUUAGUCAGAGGUGAAAGCCCAGGGCUCAACCUUGGAAUUGCCUUUGAUACUGGCUAUCUUGAGUAUGGGAGAGGUUAGCGGAACUCCGAGUGUAGAGGUGAAAUUCGUAGAUAUUCGGAAGAACACCAGUGGCGAAGGCGGCUAACUGGCCCAUUACUGACGCUGAGGCUCGAAAGCGUGGGGAGCAAACAGGAUUAGAUACCCUGGUAGUCCACGCCGUAAACGAUGAGUGCUAGUUGUCGGCAUGCAUGCAUGUCGGUGACGCGAGCUACGACAUAAGUACACUCCGCCGUCGGGAGGUACGGUCGGCGAAGAAGUUAAAACUUAAAGUUAGUAAGUUAGACGGACGUAGAGACGUACGCCGACGGACGACGACGAGGGAGGUUAGG
RNAcentral lists this ribosomal RNA (619 nucleotides) under uncultured bacterium. Its description in RNAcentral is "bacterial SSU rRNA". The stretch from base 1 to 521 matches the Rfam family "Bacterial small subunit ribosomal RNA", at positions 338 to 873 of the family's 1533-position model. The record is from RNAcentral.